Molecule: ribosomal RNA, 424 nt
Filed under: uncultured bacterium
Lineage: Bacteria
Description: bacterial SSU rRNA
Rfam family: Bacterial small subunit ribosomal RNA
Source: RNAcentral
UGAGGAAUAUUGGACAAUGGAGGCAACUCUGAUCCAGCCAUGCCGCGUGCAGGAAUAAGGUCCUAUGGAUUGUAAACUGCUUUUAUACGGGAAGAAAAAGAGCUAUGCGUAGCUUGUUGACGGUACCGUAAGAAUAAGGACCGGCUAACUCCGUGCCAGCAGCCGCGGUAAUACGGAGGGUCCGAGCGUUAUCCGGAAUCAUUGGGUUUAAAGGGUCCGUAGGCGGGUUAUUAAGUCAGUGGUGAAAGUUUUCGGCUUAACCGAAAAAUUGCCAUUGAUACUGGUAGUCUUGAAUAAUUGUGAAGUAACUAGAAUAUGUAGUGUAGCGGUGAAAUGCUUAGAUAUUACAUGGAAUACCAAUUGCGAAGGCAGGUUACUAACAAUUUAUUGACGCUGAUGGACGAAAGCGUGGGUAGCGAACAGG